Molecule: unclassified non-coding RNA, 217 nt
Filed under: Hevea brasiliensis (rubber tree)
Lineage: Eukaryota; Viridiplantae; Streptophyta; Magnoliopsida; Malpighiales; Euphorbiaceae
Source: RNAcentral
AUGCUAACACAAUAACCCUCCUUAUUACAACCAAGUCGACGGGCAAGAAUUCUUCCAUCUCUUUCAGAACGACGACAAGACAUCACACGCAUGACGAAUCCUACUUGCCUAGCAUAUUCAUCAUAAAAUAUCUUGGCAGCGUCUUCAGAUUCAAAUUCCAUACCUUCUUGUGGUUCUACAAUUGAAUCACCUCCCAGCACAAUAGAAUCAUUUUCUG